Penaeus vannamei (Pacific white shrimp) is the source of this 764-nucleotide non-coding RNA. The record is from RefSeq and is a predicted model, not a curated record. NCBI's taxonomy places the organism in Eukaryota, Metazoa, Arthropoda, Malacostraca, Decapoda, Penaeidae.
CGCUCAGUAUGAAAACGUAGCGAGCACCACUAGCCAGUGCGGGAAUCCAAGAUGACAUAUCCCUACCUGCUGGCUGUGUUGGCGUGGGUGCAGCGGGCACCGUAGCCAGUGGCACUCCGCGAAUCCUGGAGGCUUCUUUCGUCGCCAAGUCAACAGUGCCAGUGCCAGCGCUUUCACGGAGGUACUGGCAACCCAUUCUUCGGCGACGUCCCCUAGUAAGAGGAAUUCUUCGGAUUCUGCAUCGGAACGAGACGCGCCCCACACCUACAAGCGUGGUGCCCCUGAGCCAAGCGACCUGUCUCUCGUUGGCAGUGCCAGCCCAGGGCCAGGCGAGGUAAAAGUGGUCAAACGCUCAGCUCAGUCUCAGCCCUUAGUUCGUUAUCUGCCACAGAAUCUUGUUACCGUGCUGGAGAGAGCGUGUACAUCGACCUCCACGAGCUCUGUACUCCCGGUCCCUUCCAUAGCCAUUGCAGGUUGUCUCUGUUCAGCCUGUUCCUACGUCGCCGGCCAAGAUCCCUGUAGGUGCCUCCCAGUGGCUGGAUGUGGCAUAGAGCUGUAAUAGAUGUGUAAUUUUAUGUUUGUAGGUAGGCCUCUACAUACACACCUGUAUGUGUUUCAGGGCCGGGAAAAGUGUUAAUUUAUUGUUAAAAAAUAUUGUUUAAAUAAAGAUCAGGCCAUAAUAUACAUAAUAAACAUACAACCUUUAUGUUAUAGAUAUGAAGACUGCCAUACACAUAUCAUCAAAAUAAUACUGUAAUUCCAAU